AGAUUAAAGCUUGUACCUUUUGUAUGAUGGUUCAGUAAGGUUAAGUAAAGAAAAUUUUAGUUCCCGAAGAUAGACGAGCUAGUAUAUUCUACUUUUGAGAGAGAAGGAAAUUUUUACUGUUGCAAUAGUAAGGUUUGAGGAUAUAUUAGGUGUGAAAUGCUUAUCGUGUUUAUGGAUAGCUGGUUCUUUUGGAAAUUGGUGUUAGCUAAGUGCAUAUUUUUAUUGGAAUGGUAGUACUUUAGUUGAGUAAAGGUAUGAUUUUAAUAAUAGUAUAUAGUGGUGAGACAUAAAGGGAUAAGUCUUUUUGUCAAGUAGGAAAAAGCUUUGUCUAUUAAUUAAGAGUGAUUUGAGUUGGAAAUGCGAUGGUAGGUUGAAAAGAAGUAGGAUUAAUAGCAUCUAUCUUUGAAGAUAGCGUUAAAGCUUAUUUAUUUGUAUCAACGUAAGAAAUUGAAAAGAAUAGUACUCUAAAUUAUAGAGGUUUACAAGAGAAUUUCGUGAGAGCGAGUGUUAUAAUGCUGGAAUUAGUAGAGUGAAUAUUGUUUGUGUAUUAAUCAAUCCUAACAUUGGAUGGAGUAAGGUUUACUGUCGAGAAGAGGUUUUAGUGGAUUGUCUACUAACGCAAGUGAUAUAAAAGUAUGAAUGUAAGGGAAAGGAAUUCGGCAAAUAAUGAUUUCGCCUGUUUACCAAAAACAUCGCCUUUUGUAAAGAGUCUAAUAUAUAAAAGGUCCUGCCUGCCCGGUGACUUAGUUAAACGGCCGCGGUAUUUUGACCGUGCAAAGGUAGCAUAAUCAUUUGCCUUUUAAAUGGGGGCUGGUAUGAAUGGCAAGACGGGAAUCAAACUGUCUCUCUCUUAUGUAUUUUGAAAUUAAUAUUUCCGUGAAGAAGCGGAGAUGGAGUCGUAGGACGAGAAGACCCUAUCGAGCUUUAGUCGAAUAAUUAUAGGCUAGUGGUGGUAUUUUAUAUGCUAAUAAGUUAUUUUAUUAGUUUGAAAGGUACUGUUAAUAAUACUGAGGUUAUAUAUUGUAGACUUAGGUUGGGGCAACCGCGGAGAAUAAGAAUCCUCCGCUGAAUUAUUGUUAAAUAUUAUAUUUUCGAUAGUUAUGUUUAUUAGAAGUGAUCCACUUGUAAGUGAUUAAAAAAAUAAGUUACCGUAGGGAUAACAGCGUAAUUUUUUUGGAGAGUUCAUAUUGAUAAAGAAGUUUGCGACCUCGAUGUUGGAUCGGGAUUUCC
This 1230-nucleotide ribosomal RNA is filed under the name Aquilonastra batheri. RNAcentral describes it as "partial 16S ribosomal RNA". It matches the Rfam family "Bacterial large subunit ribosomal RNA", at positions 589 to 2547 of the family's 2925-position model. Lineage: Eukaryota; Metazoa; Echinodermata; Asteroidea; Valvatida; Asterinidae. The record is from RNAcentral.